Molecule: long non-coding RNA, 402 nt
Filed under: Olea europaea (common olive)
Lineage: Eukaryota; Viridiplantae; Streptophyta; Magnoliopsida; Lamiales; Oleaceae
Description: long non-coding RNA (OEUR_LNC010979)
Source: RNAcentral
CCAAGUUUUGCCCUUCUACUCCUUUUAAUACAAAAUUGCAAGUGUCAAAUUUACAAGCUUUUCAUUUCUAACUAAGAGAAAUUAAUUUCAAUAAUAUAGUCUUACAAAAUUAUCUUAGAAGCUAAUUGACCAUCAUCUGGAAGGUAUUUUCGAUCAAAAUUAAUAUCGUGCCUAUUUACAUGAACAAUAAUCAAAUGAAAACUUAAGAAAAAUGAUGAUUAUUUCAAAAGAACAAAAAAUCAAAAAAACAUACAUACAUACAAAUUAGAGAGAUUCCUGAUGAUAUAUGACAAUGGAACUACUUGUCUUGGAUUGUAUAAGACAGUCUAUGAAGAAGUUUGGUCACGGUUGUUACAAUUUUGGCCGGAAUUGGAGCGAUAAUAACAAACUAAACCUUGUUUC